Molecule: long non-coding RNA, 1861 nt
Organism: Oryzias melastigma (Indian medaka)
Lineage: Eukaryota; Metazoa; Chordata; Actinopteri; Beloniformes; Adrianichthyidae
Exons: 3
Source: RefSeq, a predicted model, not a curated record
CCUUUAAUUUGAAGCUUUGUUUAGCUGGUGCUUUUAUUUUGAAGGCCGAAUUUAAGUUUUUCAGGAAGUCUGUGUCAGCCAUAUUAGUUUUCAUUUUACCAUGCUGCCUGCCUGUUGUAAUUCUCUUCCAUCCUCAUCUUGUUUUCAUCUCCAACCCCAUCGUCUGACAACUGGGAAUUUGACUAACUGUUGGAGGCAGGUGGUGAGCCAACUGGUGACAGCAGGGCUUGAGGACAGGAGGCAUCUGUGAAUCCGUGAAUAUGGAGAACCCCCUAUCUCCGCGGCCAAAGAAUGUCUAUUACCCAUUGGUAUAUAUUAAUCACUGCUGUUACUCUUUAAAAACACUUCUGAUCAUGCUUUGUAAAAAUAUUUAUUGCGUUAGGAGCGCACGCUCCCUCUUCUAAUAAUAACCACCUGAUAAUUAUGCUUCCUGAUUAUCUUCUUCGGCGUAUCGGUAUUUUUUUUUACCGAUUCUGAGUCAGCUGAUGCCAUUUCUCCAUGCAGGAGCAUAAAGAGAGAGGAAGGGGUGCUCCUCUUGUGGAGGGGGUUCUGCUGUGCGGAGAUGCACCUCAAUAGCGUAGCACCUCGUUCGGAUGCAAACAUUUCAUACAAGCAUCUUGAAUUGUCGAAGUUUUUGUGAUGAGCCGGAAGAGUCACAUUACUGAAAAAAUAUCCUCAAAUACUUGAAACCGCAUAUAAAAAAAACGCGAAUAAGCGGGGUAACACUGUACAUGCAUGUAUUUCUACAGUAUACCUUGUUGUGCUUUAAAUAUGCAUUUUAGGCAUGUUAAAUAAAAGGUUUAAGUAAUUUUUUAGUUCAUAAUGUACAUGAUUUAAAAAUUUGAAAUAAGUUCUUUUAACAACUUCCUCACAACUUUAGGUGAGCCCCAGGGUUCUCUCUGGGGGCCUUUUCUCUUCAUUUCCUGCCCCCUUCCCCUCAGCAAUAUCUUCUGUUAUUAUUAUAUUAAUUUUUAUUGCUUUGCGUAUGACACUGAGCUCCAUUUAUCAACCCAUCACCCAAAAGCACAUUAUUAAUCUUACCCUGUCGGCAUAUUUCAAUCUAUCAAAAUCCGUUGUCUCUGCCCCCUCCCCGCCAUUCUGCUUCCCCUGGUUUGCAGCCUCAUCAAGUUCUCAUUGAUUAUUAUAAUUCCUUUGUCUUCAGUCUUUCUCAUAAAUCCUUUAGUUACCUUCAAGUUGUUUAAACUCAGCUGCCCCGAACAUCACCAAAAGCCCUUGAAGAACUCCACCCCAGUCGAAACAAAAAAUGGGUUCUUCCUGUUUUCAAGAUUACCCACCCCCUCCCCUUAUUGAUCUUUUUAAUAUCUCUGUUCCCUCUGAUUCCCUUGGAGCUUCUUCCUCCUUCCAUCUCACAGCUUCUUCAUUAGUUUUACCAAGAUGGGAGGAAGAGACUCUGCUUCCAGACUCUGGAAUGCUUUCCAUCUCUAAAUCUGUACUUUAAACCUUUGCAAACUUUGAAAUCCCGUCUCAAAAACUCCUUAUUUAACUAACUUUCACUGUUUUAUUGUUUUGAACACUUUUCUUUUGUUUCAUUAGAUAAUUCAAUUAGCUGCUUUUAAUGUCAUGGUUAUAUCUUUUAUUGUAUUUAUUGUAACCCUUUUCAGAGAUGCUUGUUAAUGAAAUUAAUUUUCAUCAGUAUUAAUCAUAAUUUUUGUCUGCCAAUAUUUGAGUUCAGAUAAAUUUCUUCCAGGUUGUGAUCACACCUAUGCAUUUCCUUUUUUUCGUGAACAAAUCCUUUAUUGAUGUUCCGAGCUAUACUAACAGUAUUACUUUUAGAAAAAUUAAGUACUUUGUUCUGAUUGAAAUAGCUUAAAUUGGGUUUUAACUUAAAAAAAAAAAAAAA